CUGCUGCCUUCCGUAGGAGUCUGGGCCGUGUCUCAGUCCCAAUGUGGCCGUCCACCCUCUCAGGCCGGCUACUGAUCGUCGGCUUGGUGGGCCGUUACCCCACCAACUACCUAAUCAGACGCGGGUCCAUCUUACACCACCUCAGUUUUUACCACUGUACCAUGCAGUACUGUGGUCUUAUGCGGUAUUAGCAGUCAUUUCUAACUGUUAUCCCCCUGUGUAAGGCAGGUUACCCACGCGUUACUCACCCGUCCGCCG
RNAcentral lists this ribosomal RNA (258 nucleotides) under uncultured bacterium. RNAcentral describes it as "partial 16S ribosomal RNA". The record is from RNAcentral.